This is a long non-coding RNA of Etheostoma cragini (Arkansas darter), 129 nucleotides long. RefSeq lists it as uncharacterized. Lineage: Eukaryota; Metazoa; Chordata; Actinopteri; Perciformes; Percidae. The record is from RefSeq and is a predicted model, not a curated record. The transcript has 3 exons.
GAGAAGAGAGCUUGUGAUGGGGAGGUCGUUGGUUCAAUCCCCAGACCAACAGGAUAAAAACUGGGUGGGGAAAAUGAAAGACAGCGCUUGUCCCUCCCUUAUUACCACCACUGAGGCUGGAGAAAGAAU